RNAcentral lists this ribosomal RNA (449 nucleotides) under Molinia caerulea (moor grass). RNAcentral's name for it is "eukaryotic LSU rRNA". The stretch from base 309 to 449 matches the Rfam family "Eukaryotic large subunit ribosomal RNA", at positions 1 to 141 of the family's 3401-position model. The record is from RNAcentral. Lineage: Eukaryota; Viridiplantae; Streptophyta; Magnoliopsida; Poales; Poaceae.
UGCAGAAUCCCGCGAACCAUCGAGUUUUUGAACGCAAGUUGCGCCCGAGGCCUUCUGGCCGAGGGCACGCCUGCCUGGGCGUCACGCCAAAAGACGCUCCCCAAACCCCCAUCCGUGGGCGGAGGGACGCGGCGUUUGGCCCCCCGUGCCGCAGGGCGCGGUGGGCCGAAGUUGGGGCUGCCGGCGUACCGUGCCGGGCACAGCACUUGGUGGGCGACACGAGUUGUUCUCGGUGCAGCGCCCCGGCACGCAGCCGGCGCAGCGGCCCUAAGGACCCAACCGACCGCAAGCGCUCGGCGCUCGGACCGCGACCCCAGGUCAGGCGGGACUACCCGCUGAGUUUAAGCAUAUAAAUAAGCGGAGGAGAAGAAACUUACAAGGAUUCCCCUAGUAACGGCGAGCGAACCGGGAGCAGCCCAGCUUGAGAAUCGGGCGGCCUCGCCGCCCGA